UACGUAGGUGACCAGCGUUGUCCGGAUUUACUGGGCGUAAAGAGCGCGCAGGCGGUCGUUCAAGUCGAGUGUGAAAGCCCCCGGCUCAACUGGGGAGGGUCACUCGAUACUGAUCGACUUGAAGGCAGGAGAGGGAAGCGGAAUUCCCGGUGUAGUGGUGAAAUGCGUAGAUAUUAGGAAGAACACCAGUGGCGAAGGCGGCUCACUGGUCCGGUACUGACGCUGAGGUGCGAAAGCGUGGGGAGCAAACAGG
Molecule: ribosomal RNA, 253 nt
Filed under: uncultured bacterium
Lineage: Bacteria
Description: partial 16S ribosomal RNA
Rfam family: Bacterial small subunit ribosomal RNA
Source: RNAcentral